RNAcentral lists this transfer RNA (73 nucleotides) under Bos taurus (domestic cattle). It matches the Rfam family "tRNA". Rfam says of the family: Transfer RNA (tRNA) molecules are approximately 80 nucleotides in length. Their secondary structure includes four short double-helical elements and three loops (D, anti-codon, and T loops). RNAcentral also lists the same sequence under 4 other names. The record is from Rfam by way of RNAcentral. Lineage: Eukaryota; Metazoa; Chordata; Mammalia; Artiodactyla; Bovidae.
UCCCUGGUGGUCCAGUGGUUAAGACUCUGCACUUACAAUGAAAAAGGCAUAGGUUUGAUCCCUGGUUGGGGAA